ACAGUAAGUGUAAAAUACUGUGACUGAUCUUUUCUUUGCUUAUAAUAACGGGUCCAGAUUAUUUCUCAUAGUUUUAUUUUUCUUGUCAAACUAGACUAAUUUCUUCAGUUUAUUCCUUCUAGUAUCUUUUAUUACAGCUGUCCAGUGGUUUGCAUUUCUGAAUUUAUUACAGUAUUUUAGGUCCCACAAUAGUUUUAUAGUUUAGAAGUCAUAUUUUAUGGUACAGUAAUUACUGUCAACACAUGUUCAUUAUCAGUAUUUAAUUUAUAGUUUUUAAAAAAGUAUAUUCAAUUCACCUUCUUUUGGGUUUUCCCUUUUGAAUCUGCUCCUGCAUGCAAUCCUGUAAGCUAACGGCAAUCAACAGGCAUGGCAACGUAGCCCUGAUUCUGGAAGGUGUCUUCACUGUAUGCAUGUUUUGAAUACACAGACUUCGGCAUUUCUACCUGACUGGCCCUAUAUGAACAGAGUCAGAUUAGCAUUUUAAAGACCUAUGUGCCAGCAUUCUUGAUGGUGGAAGGGAUAUGUCUGAGGUGGGAGGAAAAGAAGUCCUACAGUCCCAGUUAAAGAAAAGAAGGAAAUGAAGAUUAAGUAACCACGUAAGAGAGUCCUGGACUUCAGAAGAUUUGGCAUUAGUCAGGUAGCAGAGAAGAACAAGUCAUUCCUUUCAAUCCCAUGGGUAUUUCUAAUA
Long non-coding RNA from Cuculus canorus (common cuckoo), 688 nucleotides. RefSeq lists it as uncharacterized. The transcript is spliced from 4 exons. The record is from RefSeq and is a predicted model, not a curated record. Lineage: Eukaryota; Metazoa; Chordata; Aves; Cuculiformes; Cuculidae.